UGGGGAAUUUUGGACAAUGGGCGAAAGCCUGAUCCAGCAAUGCCGCGUAUGUGAAGAAGGCCUUCGGGUUGUAAAGCACUUUUGUCCGGAAAGAAAUCCUUGGCUCUAAUACAGUCGGGGGAUGACGGUACCGGAAGAAUAAGCACCGGCUAACUACGUGCCGGCAGCCGCGGUAAUACGUAGGGUGCAAGCGUUAAUCGGAAUUACUGGGCGUAAAGCGUGCGCAGGCGGUUUGCUAAGACCGAUGUGAAAUCCCCGGGCUCAACCUGGGAACUGCAUUGGUGACUGGCAGGCUAGAGUAUGGCAGAGGGGGGUAGAAUUCCACGUGUAGCAGUGAAAUGCGUAGAGAUGUGGAGGAAUACCGAUGGCGAAGGCAGCCCCCUGGGCCAAUACUGACGCUCAUGCACGAAAGCGUGGGGAGCAAACAGGAUUAGAUACCCUGGUAGUCCACGCCCUAAACGAUGUCAACUAGUUGUUGGGGAUUCAUUUCCCUAGUAACGUAGCUAACGCGUGAAGUUGACCGCCUGGGGAGUACGGUCGCAAGAUUAAAACUUAAAUGAAUUGACGGGGUCAUAGCUGUUUCCU
This 585-nucleotide ribosomal RNA is filed under the name uncultured bacterium. RNAcentral's name for it is "partial 16S ribosomal RNA". It matches the Rfam family "Bacterial small subunit ribosomal RNA", at positions 355 to 1375 of the family's 1533-position model. The record is from RNAcentral.